AUUGAACGCUGGCGGCAGGCCUAACACAUGCAAGUCGAGCGAGCGGCGGGCGGGUGAGUAAUGCGUGGGAAUUGCCCAGUCGAGGGGGAUAACAGUUGGAAACGACUUCUAAUACCGCAUUCGCGUGGAUUGCCCAGGUGGGUUUAGCUAGUUGGUGAUGUAAUGGCUCACCAAGGCGACGAUCCCUAGCUGGUCUGAGAGGAUGACAAGCCACACUGGAACUGAGACACGGUCCAGACUCCUACGGGAGGCAGCAGUGGGGAAUAUUGCACAAUGGGGGAAACCCUGAUGCAGCCAUGCCGCGUGUGUGAAGAAGGCCUUCGGGUUGUAAAGCACUUUCAGCGAGGAGGCGUUACUCGCAGAAGAAGCACCGGCUAACUCCGUGCCAGCAGCCGCGGUAAUUC
This 404-nucleotide ribosomal RNA is filed under the name uncultured bacterium. Its description in RNAcentral is "partial 16S ribosomal RNA". It matches the Rfam family "Bacterial small subunit ribosomal RNA", at positions 30 to 526 of the family's 1533-position model. The record is from RNAcentral.